RNA transcript from Homo sapiens (human), 3920 nucleotides. It is a transcript of the gene named ankyrin repeat domain 18C, pseudogene, with no coding region annotated. Lineage: Eukaryota; Metazoa; Chordata; Mammalia; Primates; Hominidae. The transcript is spliced from 18 exons. The record is from RefSeq and is marked provisional.
GCGUCAGCCAGGGGUGGAGGAAGCAGAAAAGGCUCUCUCACCUCUAACGCCGCAGUGGAUUAGAGCAUCUGAGAAGCUCUGGAAAAAACCUCUCAGGAAAACAACGACUUCAGCAGGACCCACUAGCCAAGGAAAGGGGAUAAAAUAAAUAGCAAAGGGAAGGAAAAACACGCACCUCUGGGAUGCUGCAGGUCCUGUUGCAGCCGCCGCCAUCCCUCGAAGCCACCGUUGCUUCUGCCAGAGCUGCUACUAGCGCGCUUAUCAGCUCCGCCACCGCCCAAGGGGGAAACUUCUGCAGAAACCCCAACCGAGCUUCCGUCGACUGUUCUACAUUUGGCCUGUGCCCAUGGCCAUGUGGAAGUGGUCACUCUCUUGCUGGGGAGAAGAUGCCUGAUUGACAUCUGUGACAGACUAAACAGGACGUCUUUAAUGAAGGAGGGAAACACUCCACUUUUGUUUGCUAUAAAUUCUGGGAGACAGCAUGUGGUGGAAUUCUUAUUGAAGAACCAGGCAAAUAUACAUGCCGUUGACAAUUUCAGAAGUUCUGCCAAGGAAAGAGAAAAUACCUUUUAAUCCCAGGGAAAGGAUUGCAAUCACCACAUUAUAAGAUCCCUGAACUUCAGAGAGUAUUGCCAUUUGGAUUCAUGGAGUUGGCGAACUGCUACACUGCUACCUUGUAGAACUAUGGGGGUAUGAAACAAGGCUGAAGGCUUUUAACCAUGGGAGAAAAAGGUGUUGGUAUUAUUCAUAUAGCAUAACCUGAGGUUGGAGAGGACCACUUGGGAGCCUGUAACCAAAACUAGAAGGUAACUUCUGGGAUGGACGGAGGUUCCCUUGAAGCAGUGCCAACCUAAAUCUACCUCAGAACAGCCCUCAUGCUUGCAGUACAGCAUAGCUCGUCAAGUAUCAUCAGCCUCCUCCUUCAACAAAAUAUAAAUAUCUUUUCUCAAGACAUGUUUGGCCAAAUGGCUGAGGAUUAUGCUGUUUAUUGUGAUUUGAGAAGCAUUCAACAACAAAUUUUGGAACAUAAAAAUAAGAAACUUAAAAAUCAUCUUUGAAAUGACAAUCAAGAAACAGCAGCUAUGAAGCCUGCAAAUUUGAAAAAAAGAAAAGAAGGUGCAAAAGCAGAACACGACUUAAAAGUGCCUUCAGAGGAAAAGCAAGAAAGGCUUGAAAGAAGUGAAAAUAAACAGCCACGGGAUUCUCAAAGUUAUGGAAAAAAGAAGGAUGUGAUGUAUGGAAAUUAUAUGUUGAAGAGAGACAUUGCCAUGCUCAAACAGGAAUUAUACGCAAUAAAAAAUGACAGUCUCAGAAAGGAAAAAGAAUAUAUUCAUGAAAUUAAAAGUAUUACAGAAAUAAAUGCUAACUUUGAAAAGAGUGUAAGACUCAAUGAAGAAAUGAUAACAAAAACAAUUGCCCAGUAUUCACAAGAGCUCAAUGAUCUGAAAGCUGAGAAUUCAAGGCUGAAUUCAAAAUUGGAGAAGGAAAAACACAACAAAGAGAGACUAGAAGCUGAAGUCAAAUCCCUCCAUUCUAGCCUGGCAACUGCUAUAAAUGAGUACAAUGAAAUUUUGGAAAGAAAAGACCUAGAACUAGUUUUACAGAGAGCAGAUGAUGUUUAUGGACAAGAAAAAAUGGGUUCUGAUAUUUCUCAACUAACAGAUAAGAAUGAGUUGCUUACUAAACAACUUUCUAAAGCUCGGGUGAAGUUCAGUACCUUAAAAGCUAAGCUGCAUGAGACAAGAGAUGCUCUCAGGGAAAAGACAUUGGCUUUAGAAAGUGUACAGAUGGACCUAAAGCAAGCACAGCAUCAAAUAAAGGAAAUGAAGCAGAUGCAUCCAAAUGAGGAAGCUAAGGAGAGUCAAUCCACUGGAACGCAGAACUCUUUAGAGGAGAGAAUAUGUCAACAAGAACUCGAAAAUCUCUUGCUUGAACAACAACUAGAGGAUGCUCAUAAGGAAGGCCAUAAUGAAGAGAUAGUCAUUAAUAUCCAAGGAGGCUGUCUUGAGAAUGGAAAGGAAGAUCUUCUAGAAGAAAAAAGUAUGGAAUUAAUGAAUGAAUAUAAUUAUUUUAAAGAAAAACUUUCAGUAUGAAAAAGAAGCAGCAGAAGGAGAAGGAAGUGAUUGUAAGACAACUUCAAGAAGAACUGGCUGAUCACCUUAAAAAAUUUUCAAUGUCAGAGUCUCCACUGGAAGGUACAUCAUAUUGUCAUAUUAAUUUGGAUGAGACACGGACUUCAAAGAAGAAAUUAUUUCAAGUAGAAAGUCAACCUGAAGAAAAACAUGAAGAACUCGGAAAACUUUUUGAGUUAAUAUCAUCACUGGACUGUAAUGUAGAUCAAAUAAGAAAGAAAAAUCAUGAAUUAGAAGAAGAGGCAACUGGAUGUAAGAAAUGCCUAGAAACGACAAUAAAUAUGUUAAAUGUAUUUGGAAAUGAAGACUUCAGUUGCCAUGGAGACUUAAAUACAGAUCAACUGAAAAUGGAUAUUCUGUUUAAGAAGCUAAAACAGAAGUUUGAUGAUCUUAUGGCCGAGAAGGAAGCUGUAUCUUCAAAAUGUGUCAAUUUGGCCAAAGACAAUGAAGUUCUUCAUCAGGAGUUAUUAUCUAUGAGAAAAGUACAAGAGAAAUGUGAAAAACUUGAGAAGGAUAAAAAGAUGUUGGAAGAAGAAGUAUUAAAUCUUAAGACACAUAUGGAAAAAGAUAUGGUAGAACUUGGUAAAGCACAAGAAUAUAAAUCGGAGCUGGAUGAAAGGGCAAUGCAGGCAAUAGAAAAAUUAGAAGAAAUCCAUUUACAGGAACAAGCAGAAUAUGAAAAACAAUUAGAGCAGUUAAACAAGGAUAAUACGGCUUCACUAAAAAAGAAGGAACUCACAGUUAAAGAUGUGGAAUGUAAAUUCUCCAAAAUGAAAACUGCUUAUGAAGAGGUUACAACUGAAUUAGAAGAAUAUAAGGAAGCCUUUGCAGUAGCAUUGAAAGCUAACAAUUCCAUCUCAGAAAAAAUAAUGAAAUCAGAUAAGAAAAUAGCAGUGAUCAGCACCAAGCUCCUUAUGGAGAAAGAACGGAUGAUAUUUUCUCAGCACUCUUCCUAUGAGGCCAGACCCAGAGUUACCUUGUGUUGAAAAUCUUAAUAGUAUAGGACUCAACAGAAAAUAUAUUCCCAAAAUGCCCCUAAGAAUUCCUACUUCAAACCCACAGACUUCAAAUAACUGCAAGAACUCCUUGACUGAGCUUUUGCUGUGUUGAACACUUGCUCCCAUCUCCUUUCUUCUCUAGAAUCCACUGGUAAGCCACAUCUAAUGAAGAGAAUAUUUAACCAUAAAAUCUUAAGGAAAAGCAUGAAUUAAAAGAUCAUAAAACUUUAUUACUGGGCUAUUUACAUGAAAUUUUAAUUGUUUCUCAUAAAAUAUAAAACAUCACAAUCUUUACUAAAGUAGAAUAUUUUCAUAUCAUGUAUGAUGAAUAUUUAUAUGUUAUUUUAAAUGAUGUUUUUUAGCCUCCUUAAGUUUUAAGUGGAUCUUGCAAAUGAACACCAGUAUUAUUGAGUUUGACCUACUCAAAUUGCCUGAAUGCCAGCUGUUUAAACAGCCAAACAACCAAGUCAUCAUUGAUACUUUAGUAAAGGUCAUCGAAGGCUUCUUUGCAUUUUACAGUUUUUAUUACUAUAUAUAGUAGGAGACUUAAAGAGUAUCUGCCAGGUUCGUCCAUACUAAUGUUACAAUUUUCUUUUUGUAGUUCAACAGUAUUUUUUGUGGAGAUACUUUGAGGCUCUGUAAAUAUCUGGUUACUCCUCAAAACACACUAGAUUUAGCAUUUCAUGGAUGACUUGUGUUUGAACAAGUGUUACUGUGAUGGUUGCCAGAUGAUUAUUUUUCUUAUUCUCUUCUUUGUUCUACAUGGUGAAAUAAAACCAAUAAAUAAAGG